GGAGGAUUGCUUGAGUCCUGGUGUUGGAAGCCACAGUGAGCUAUGAUCAUGCCACUGCACUCCAGCCUGAGUGACAGAGAAAUAUCGUGUCUC
This 93-nucleotide microRNA precursor is filed under the name Carlito syrichta (Philippine tarsier). RNAcentral's name for it is "miRNA (ENSTSYG00000026112.1)". Lineage: Eukaryota; Metazoa; Chordata; Mammalia; Primates; Tarsiidae. The record is from RNAcentral.